GAGGAAGUAAAAGUCGUAACAAGGUCUCCGUUGGUGAACCAGCGGAGGGAUCAUUACUGAGUU
Molecule: ribosomal RNA, 63 nt
Filed under: Colletotrichum truncatum
Lineage: Eukaryota; Fungi; Ascomycota; Sordariomycetes; Glomerellales; Glomerellaceae
Description: partial 18S ribosomal RNA
Rfam family: Eukaryotic small subunit ribosomal RNA (bases 1-56)
Source: RNAcentral